This 569-nucleotide ribosomal RNA is filed under the name Aspergillus oryzae. Its description in RNAcentral is "partial 18S ribosomal RNA". The stretch from base 203 to 356 matches the Rfam family "5.8S ribosomal RNA". Lineage: Eukaryota; Fungi; Ascomycota; Eurotiomycetes; Eurotiales; Aspergillaceae. The record is from RNAcentral.
GACCUGCGGAAGGAUCAUUACCGAGUGUAGGGUUCCUAGCGAGCCCAACCUCCCACCCGUGUUUACUGUACCUUAGUUGCUUCGGCGGGCCCGCCAUUCAUGGCCGCCGGGGGCUCUCAGCCCCGGGCCCGCGCCCGCCGGAGACACCACGAACUCUGUCUGAUCUAGUGAAGUCUGAGUUGAUUGUAUCGCAAUCAGUUAAAACUUUCAACAAUGGAUCUCUUGGUUCCGGCAUCGAUGAAGAACGCAGCGAAAUGCGAUAACUAGUGUGAAUUGCAGAAUUCCGUGAAUCAUCGAGUCUUUGAACGCACAUUGCGCCCCCUGGUAUUCCGGGGGGCAUGCCUGUCCGAGCGUCAUUGCUGCCCAUCAAGCACGGCUUGUGUGUUGGGUCGUCGUCCCCUCUCCGGGGGGGACGGGCCCCAAAGGCAGCGGCGGCACCGCGUCCGAUCCUCGAGCGUAUGGGGCUUUGUCACCCGCUCUGUAGGCCCGGCCGGCGCUUGCCGAACGCAAAUCAAUCUUUUUCCAGGUUGACCUCGGAUCAGGUAGGGAUACCCGCUGAACUUAAGCAU